This 184-nucleotide small nuclear RNA is filed under the name Peromyscus maniculatus bairdii (prairie deer mouse). RNAcentral's name for it is "U1 spliceosomal RNA (ENSPEMG00000002599.2)". The stretch from base 1 to 148 matches the Rfam family "U1 spliceosomal RNA". Rfam says of the family: U1 is a small nuclear RNA (snRNA) component of the spliceosome (involved in pre-mRNA splicing). Its 5' end forms complementary base pairs with the 5' splice junction, thus defining the 5' donor site of an intron. The record is from RNAcentral. Lineage: Eukaryota; Metazoa; Chordata; Mammalia; Rodentia; Cricetidae.
AUACUUACCUGGCAGGGGAGAUACCAUGAUCACGAAGGUGGUUUUCCCAGGGCGAGGCUUAUCCAUUGCACUCCGGAUGUGCUGACCCCUGCGAUUUCCCCAAAUGCGGGAAACUCGACUGCAUAAUUUGUGAUAGUGGGGGACUGCGUUAAAGAAAAAAAGAAAAAUGUUAUGUUGACUUUUA